RNAcentral lists this ribosomal RNA (392 nucleotides) under uncultured bacterium. RNAcentral describes it as "partial 16S ribosomal RNA". It matches the Rfam family "Bacterial small subunit ribosomal RNA", at positions 523 to 918 of the family's 1533-position model. The record is from RNAcentral.
AUACGGAGGAUCCGAGCGUUAUCCGGAUUUAUUGGGUUUAAAGGGUGCGCAGGCGGCCAUUUAAGUCAGCGGUUAAAUCGUGGGGCUCAACCCCAUUCUGCCGUUGAUACUGGGUGGCUUGAUUGCGGUCGAGGUUGGCGGAAUUCGUUGUGUAGCGGUGAAAUGCAUUGAUAUGACGAAGAACACCGAUUGCGUAGGCAGCUGACCAGACCGCAAAUGACGCUCAUGCACGAAAGUGCGGGGAUCGAACAGGAUUAGAUCCCCUGGUAGUCUGCACAGUAAACGAUGAAUACUUGUCUUCGGCGAUAUAAUGUCGGAGGCAAAGCGAAAGCGAUAAGUAUUCCACCUGGGGAGUACGCCGGCAACGGUGAAACUCAAAUGAAUUGACGGGG